AGACCUGAAUCAAAAAUAUUCAGUGGGAUGGAGACCAAGAGUUCUUAAUGCUGUGACCAAAGGCGGAGAUUCUCCACGGAUGCCAUAGUCACUCAAUAGUGCUAUGAUUUUUUCCUGAGGAGAUACAAGG
RNAcentral lists this small nucleolar RNA (130 nucleotides) under Echinops telfairi (small Madagascar hedgehog). RNAcentral describes it as "Small nucleolar RNA SNORA25 (ENSETEG00000026007.1)". Lineage: Eukaryota; Metazoa; Chordata; Mammalia; Afrosoricida; Tenrecidae. The record is from RNAcentral.